Molecule: unclassified non-coding RNA, 241 nt
Filed under: Rickettsia conorii
Lineage: Bacteria; Pseudomonadati; Pseudomonadota; Alphaproteobacteria; Rickettsiales; Rickettsiaceae
Description: partial tmRNA
Source: RNAcentral
AGUAAAAGCAAACUUUUUAUUAGGCACGUCGAUCCUAUUUCGCCCCCCAAAAAUACUCGAUGAACUUCGUAUUGUCUACUCUUUAAGAGUUAUUACAUAUUUAAACUUUUCUAAAUGACGUAGCUAAUAAAGAGAAAUUUGAAGGCAACACGGAACGCAGAACCGCAGGGUACACGCAAGUAACGUGAGGAUUCGAAUACCGGAUCGACGUACAAAUUACCUUUAGGAGCAAGUUAUUUAG